GAUGAAGAACGUAGCGAAAUGCGAUAAGUAAUGUGAAUUGCAGAAUUCAGUGAAUCAUCGAAUCUUUGAACGCACCUUGCACCCUUUGGCUAUUCCGAAGGGUAUGCCUGUUUGAGUAUCAUGAACACCUCAACUCUCAUGGUUUGCCAUGAUGAGCUUGGACUUUGGGGGUCUUGCUGGCUUGUGGUCAGCUCCUCUCAAAUGGAUUAGCUUGCCAGUGUUUGGUGGCAUCACAGGUGUGAUAACUAUCUACGCUUGUGGUUUUCCACCAGGUAACCUUCAGCAAUGGGGGUUCGCUGGGGCUCAUAAAUGUCUCUCCUCAGUGAGGACAGCUCUUUGAACGUUUGAUCUCAAAUCAGGUAGGACUACCCGCUGAACUUAAGCAUAUCAAUAAGCGGAGGA
RNAcentral lists this unclassified non-coding RNA (402 nucleotides) under soil metagenome. RNAcentral's name for it is "partial contains 5.8S ribosomal RNA, internal transcribed spacer 2, and large subunit ribosomal RNA". The stretch from base 1 to 121 matches the Rfam family "5.8S ribosomal RNA", at positions 35 to 154 of the family's 154-position model. The record is from RNAcentral.